CCUACGGGAGGCAGCAGUGAGGAAUAUUGGUCAAUGGACGGAAGUCUGAACCAGCCAUGUCGCGUGCAGGAAGACGGCUCUACGAGUUGUAAACUGCUUUUGUACAAGGGUAAACCUGAAUACGUGUAUUCAGCUGAAAGUACUGUACGAAUAAGGAUCGGCUAACUCCGUGCCAGCAGCCGCGGUAAUACGGAGGAUCCAAGCGUUAUCCGGAUUUAUUGGGUUGAAAGGGUGCGUAGGCGGAUUGAUAAGUUAGAGGUGUAAUGUCCGCGCUUAACUCGGGAACUGCCUCUAAUACUGUUGAUCUAGAGAGUAGCUGCGUUAGGCGGAAUGUCUGGUGUCGCGGUGACAUGCUUAGCGUUCAUCCAGAACCCCGAUUGCGAAGGCAGCUUACCAAUCUAUAUCUGACGUUGAGGCACGAAAGCGUGGGGAGCAAACAGGAUUAGAUACCCGGGUAGUC
This 460-nucleotide ribosomal RNA is filed under the name uncultured bacterium. RNAcentral describes it as "partial 16S ribosomal RNA". It matches the Rfam family "Bacterial small subunit ribosomal RNA", at positions 338 to 795 of the family's 1533-position model. The record is from RNAcentral.